GCGAGCGUUAAUCGGAAUUACUGGGCGUAAAGCGUGCGCAGGCCGUUUGGUAAGACAGAUGUGAAAUCCCCGGGCUUAACCUGGGAACUGCAUUUGUGACUGCCAGACUAGAGUGUAGCAGAGGGGGGUAGAAUCCACGUGUAGCAGUGAAAUGCGUAGAGAUGUGGAGGAAUACCGAUGGCGAAGGCAGCCCCCUGGGCUAACACUGACGCUCAUGCACGAAAGCGUGGGGAGCAAACAGGAUUAGGCACCCUGGUAGUCCACGCCCUAAACGAUGUCAACUAGGUGUUGGGGAAGGAGGCUUCUUUAGUACCGCAGCUAACGCGUGAAGUUGACCGCCUGGGGAGUACGGUCGCAAGAUUAAAACUCAAAGGAAUUGACGGGGACCCGCACAAGCGGUGGAUUAUGUGGAUUAAUUCGAUGCAACGCGAAAAACCUUACCUACCCGUGACAUGUCAGGAAGAUCGCAGAGAUGGGAUUGUGCCCGAAAGGGAACCUGAACACAGGUGCUGCAUGGCUGUCGUCAGCUCGUGUCGUGAGAUGUUGGGUUAAGUCCCGCAACGAGCGCAACCCUUGUCAUUAAUUGCCAUCAUUCGGUUGGGCACUUUAAUGAGACUGCCGGUGACUAACCGGAGGAAGGUGGGGAUGACGUCAAGUCCUCAUGGCCCUUAUGGGUAGGGCUUCACACGUAAUACAAUGGUCGGUACAGAGGGUUGCCAACCCGCGAGGGGGAGCCAAUCUCAGAAAGCCGAUCGUAGUCCGGAUCGGAGUCUGCAACUCGACUCCGUGAAGUCGGAAUCGCUAGUAAUCGCGGAUCAGCAU
RNAcentral lists this ribosomal RNA (822 nucleotides) under uncultured beta proteobacterium. Its description in RNAcentral is "bacterial SSU rRNA". It matches the Rfam family "Bacterial small subunit ribosomal RNA", at positions 534 to 1355 of the family's 1533-position model. Lineage: Bacteria; Pseudomonadati; Pseudomonadota; Betaproteobacteria. The record is from RNAcentral.